GACGAACGCUGGCGGCGUGCUUAACACAUGCAAGUCGAACGGAAAGGCCCUGCUUUUGUGGGUUGCUCGAUUGGCGAACGGGUGAGUAACACGUGAGUAACCUGCCCUUGACUUUGGGAUAACUUCAGGAAACUGGGGCUAAUACCGGAUAGGAGCUCCUGCUGCAUGUUGGGGGUUGGAAAGUUUCAGCGGUUGGGGAUGGACUCGCGGCUUAUCAGCUUGUUGGUGGGGUAGUGGCUUACCAAGGCUUUGACGGGUAGCCGGCCUGAGAGGGUGACCGGCCACAUUGGGACUGAGAUACGGCCCAGACGCCAACGGGAGGCAGCAGUGGGGAAUAUUGCACAAUGGGGGGAAGCCAGAUGCAGCAACGCCGCGUGCGGGGUGACGGCCUUCGGGUUGUAAACCGAUGUCGCAUGUGACGAAGAGUGAGUGACGGUAAUGGGUAAAGAAGCAACGGCUAACUACGUG
RNAcentral lists this ribosomal RNA (468 nucleotides) under uncultured bacterium. RNAcentral describes it as "partial 16S ribosomal RNA". It matches the Rfam family "Bacterial small subunit ribosomal RNA", at positions 28 to 507 of the family's 1533-position model. The record is from RNAcentral.